UGGGGAAUAUUGGACAAUGGGCGCAAGCCUGAUCCAGCCAUGCCGCGUGAGUGAUGAAGGUCUUAGGAUUGUAAAGCUCUUUCACCGGUGAAGAUAAUGACGGUAACCGGAGAAGAAGCCCCGGCUAACUUCGUGCCAGCAGCCGCGGUAAUACGAAGGGGGCUAGCGUUGUUCGGAAUUACUGGGCGUAAAGCGCAUGUAGGCGGAUACUUAAGUCAGGGGUGAAAUCCCGCAGCUCAACUGCGGAACUGCCUUUGAUACUGGGUAUCUUGAGUAUGGAAGAGGUGAGUGGAAUUCCGAGUGUAGAGGUGAAAUUCGUAGAUAUUCGGAGGAACACCAGUGGCGAAGGCGGCUCACUGGUCCAUUACUGACGCUGAGGUGCGAAAAGCGUGGGGAGCAAAACAGGAUUAGAUACCCUGGUAGUCCACGCCGUAAACGAUGAAUGUUAGCCGUCGGGCAGUAUACUGUUCGGUGGCGCAGCUAACGCAUUAAAACAUUCCGCCUGGGGAGUACGGUCGCAAGAUUAAAACUCAAAUGAAUUGACGGGGUCAUAGCUGUUUCCU
Molecule: ribosomal RNA, 563 nt
Filed under: uncultured bacterium
Lineage: Bacteria
Description: partial 16S ribosomal RNA
Rfam family: Bacterial small subunit ribosomal RNA
Source: RNAcentral